GGGGUUCCUGAGGAAGGUUCGUCCGCUCAGGGUAAGUCGGGACCUAAGGCGAGGCCGAAAGGCGUAGUCGAAGGACAACAGGUUGAUAUUCCUGUACCACCGUAAGCCGUUACGAGCAAUGGAGUGACGCAGAAGGGUAGUGACGCGGACCGAUGGAUGUGUCCGUCCAAGCAGUGAGGCUGGUUUGUUGGCAAAUCCGCAAACCGUAAGGCUGGGCUGUGAUGGGGAGGGAAAUUUUAGUACCGAAGGUCAUGAUCUCCAGCUGCCAAGAAAAGCUUCUAGCCAGGCGAAGGUGCCCGUACCGCAAACCGACACAGGUAGGCGAGCAGAGCAUGCUAAGGCGCGCGGAGUAACUCUCGUUAAGGAACUCGGCAACAUGACCCCGUAACUUCGGGAGAAGGGGUGCCUCGGUAGGGUGAAUAGCCCGAGGGGGCCGCAGUGAAAAGGCCCAAGCGACUGUUUAGCAAAAACACAGGUCUGUGCGAAGCCGUAAGGCGAAGUAUACGGGCUGACGCCUGCCCGGUGCUGGAAGGUUAAGGGGAGCGGUUAGGGGCAACCCGAAGCUGUGAACCGAAGCCCCAGUAAACGGCGGCCGUAACUAUAACGGUCCUAAGGUAGCGAAAUUCCUUGUCAGGUAAAUUCUGACCCGCACGAAUGGCGUAACGACUUGGGCGCUGUCUCAACGAGAGAUCCGGUGAAAUUUUAAUACCUGUGAAGAUGCAGGUUACCCGCGACAAGACGGAAAGACCCCAUGGAGCUUUACUGCAGCUUGAUAUUGGACUUUGGUACGAUCUGUACAGGAUAGGUGGGAGCCUAGGAAGCCGGAGCGCCAGCUUCGGUGGAGGCACCGUUGGGAUACCACCCUGAUCGUAUCGGAGUUCUAACCUGGUACCGUGAAACCGGUACAGGGACCGUGUCAGGCGGGCAGUUUGACUGGGGCGGUCGCCUCCCAAAGAGUAACGGAGGCGCGCGAUGGUGGGCUCAGACCGGUCGGAAAUCGGUCGUCGAGUGCAAUGGCAUAAGCCCGCCUGACUGCGAGACAGACAAGUCGAGCAGAGACGAAAGUCGGUCAUAGUGAUCCGGUGGUCCCGCGUGGAAGGGCCAUCGCUCAACGGAUAAAAGCUACCCUGGGGAUAACAGGCUUAUCUCCCCCAAGAGUCCACAUCGACGGGGAGGUUUGGCACCUC
Molecule: ribosomal RNA, 1187 nt
Filed under: Dendrocalamus latiflorus
Lineage: Eukaryota; Viridiplantae; Streptophyta; Magnoliopsida; Poales; Poaceae
Description: bacterial LSU rRNA
Rfam family: Bacterial large subunit ribosomal RNA
Source: RNAcentral